AUGACUAUGAUGAAGGUUGUUCUGCUUCUGCAUAGCUGCUGGUUGUUGCCUUAUGUUUUUCCUUCCUUUUUUUGCGCAGUGUUUCAACUUUACUUUGCCCUCGGUGAGCAUCAGAUACUCGAUUGGCAUGCAGAAUUGGACUUACCUUACAGUGUCCUAAUACCUUCUGACAAGGAACCAUCCGGGUGCACCCAACGAGAUCAAAGUUGA
RNAcentral lists this ribosomal RNA (210 nucleotides) under Triticum aestivum (bread wheat). Its description in RNAcentral is "partial small subunit ribosomal RNA". Lineage: Eukaryota; Viridiplantae; Streptophyta; Magnoliopsida; Poales; Poaceae. The record is from RNAcentral.